This 253-nucleotide ribosomal RNA is filed under the name uncultured bacterium. Its description in RNAcentral is "partial 16S ribosomal RNA". It matches the Rfam family "Bacterial small subunit ribosomal RNA", at positions 524 to 776 of the family's 1533-position model. The record is from RNAcentral.
UACGGGGGGGGCAAGCGUUGUUCGGAAUUACUGGGCGUAAAGGGCUCGUAGGUGGCCCCAUAAGUCAGACGUGAAAUCCCUCGGCUCAACCGAGGAACUGCGUCUGAGACUGUGGGGCUUGAAUCCGGGAGAGGGAUGCGGAAUUCCAGGUGUAGCGGUGAAAUGCGUAGAUAUCUGGAGGAACACCGGUGGCGAAGGCGGCAUCCUGGACCGGUAUUGACACUGAUGAGCGAAAGCCAGGGGAGCAAACGGG